Molecule: ribosomal RNA, 303 nt
Filed under: uncultured bacterium
Lineage: Bacteria
Description: partial 16S ribosomal RNA
Rfam family: Bacterial small subunit ribosomal RNA
Source: RNAcentral
AGCAGUCGCCGCGGUAAUACAGAGGGUGCGAGCGUUAAUCGGAUUUACUGGGCGUAAAGCGUGCGUAGGCGGCUUCUUAAGUCGGAUGUGAAAUCCCUGAGCUUAACUUAGGAAUUGCAUUCGAUACUGGGAAGCUAGAGUAUGGGAGAGGAUGGUAGAAUUCCAGGUGUAGCGGUGAAAUGCGUAGAGAUCUGGAGGAAUACCGAUGGCGAAGGCAGCCAUCUGGCCUAAUUCUGACGCUGAGGUACGAAAGCAUGGGGAGCAAACAGGAUUAGAUACCCCCGUAGUCCCUGUCUCUUAUAC